UACGAAGGGGGCUAGCGUUGUUCGGAGUUACUGGGCGUAAAGGGCGCGUAGGCGGCGCACCAAGUCAGGCGUGAAAGCCCUGGGCUCAACCCGGGAAUUGCGCUUGAGACUGGUGUGCUUGAGUACGGGAGAGGAUAGUGGAAUUCCCAGUGUAGAGGUGAAAUUCGUAGAUAUUGGGAAGAACACCAGUGGCGAAGGCGACUUACUGGACACGUAUUGACGCUGAGGUGCGAAAAGCGUGGGGGAGCAAACAGGGAUUAAGAAAACCCCCAGU
Molecule: ribosomal RNA, 274 nt
Filed under: uncultured bacterium
Lineage: Bacteria
Description: partial 16S ribosomal RNA
Rfam family: Bacterial small subunit ribosomal RNA
Source: RNAcentral